Papio anubis (olive baboon) is the source of this 148-nucleotide unclassified non-coding RNA. It matches the Rfam family "Metazoan signal recognition particle RNA". From Rfam's summary of the family: The signal recognition particle (SRP) is a universally conserved ribonucleoprotein. It is involved in the co-translational targeting of proteins to membranes. The eukaryotic SRP consists of a 300-nucleotide 7S RNA and six proteins: SRPs 72, 68, 54, 19, 14, and 9. The record is from Ensembl. Lineage: Eukaryota; Metazoa; Chordata; Mammalia; Primates; Cercopithecidae.
GCUGGGCGUGGUGGCACACGCCUGUAAUCCCAGCUACUUGGGAGGCUGAGGCAGGGGAAUUGCUUGAGCUUGGGAGGCAGAGGUUGCAGUGAGCAGAGAUCGUGCCACUGCACUCUAGCCUGGCUGACAGAGUGAGACUCUGUCUCAU